GCCUAAUACAUGCAAGUCGAACGCUUUUUCUUUCACCGGAGCUUGCUCCACCGAAAGAAAAAGAGUGGCGAACGGGUGAGUAACACGUGGGUAACCUGCCCAUCAGAAGGGGAUAACACUUGGAAACAGGUGCUAAUACCGUAUAACACUAUUUUCCGCAUGGAAGAAAGUUGAAAGGCGCUUUUGCGUCACUGAUGGAUGGACCCGCGGUGCAUUAGCUAGUUGGUGAGGUAACGGCUCACCAAGGCCACGAUGCAUAGCCGACCUGAGAGGGUGGUCGGCCACACUGGGACUGAGACACGGCCCAGACUCCUACGGGAGGCAGCAGUAGGGAAUCUUCGGCAAUGGACGAAAGUCUGACCGAGCAACGCCGCGUGAGUGAAGAAGGUUUUCGGAUCGUAAAACUCUGUUGUUAGAGAAGAACAAGGAUGAGAGUAGAACGUUCAUCCCUUGACGGUAUCUAACCAGAAAGCCACGGCUAACUACGUGCCAGCAGCCGCGGUAAUACGUAGGUGGCAAGCGUUGUCCGGAUUUAUUGGGCGUAAAGCGAGCGCAGGCGGUUUCUUAAGUCUGAUGUGAAAGCCCCCGGCUCAACCGGGGAGGGUCAUUGGAAACUGGGAGACUUGAGUGCAGAAGAGGAGAGUGGAAUUCCAUGUGUAGCGGUGAAAUGCGUAGAUAUAUGGAGGAACACCAGUGGCGAAGGCGGCUCUCUGGUCUGUAACUGACGCUGAGGCUCGAAAGCGUGGGGAGCGAACAGGAUUAGAUACCCUGGUAGUCCACGCCGUAAACGAUGAGUGCUAAGUGUUGGAGGGUUUCCGCCCUUCAGUGCUGCAGCAAACGCAUUAAGCACUCCGCCUGGGGAGUACGACCGCAAGGUUGAAACUC
This 885-nucleotide ribosomal RNA is filed under the name uncultured Enterococcus sp. Its description in RNAcentral is "bacterial SSU rRNA". It matches the Rfam family "Bacterial small subunit ribosomal RNA", at positions 46 to 902 of the family's 1533-position model. The record is from RNAcentral. Lineage: Bacteria; Bacillati; Bacillota; Bacilli; Lactobacillales; Enterococcaceae.